ACCGACGGGAGCUUGCUCCCUUAGGUCAGCGGCGGACGGGUGAGUAACACGUGGGUAACCUGCCUGUAAGACUGGGAUAACUCCGGGAAACCGGGGCUAAUACCGGAUGCUUGAUUGAGCCGCAUGGUUCAAUUAUAAAAGGUGGCUUUCAGCUACCACUUACAGAUGGACCCGCGGCGCAUUAGCUAGUUGGUGAGGUAACGGCUCACCAAGGCGACGAUGCGUAGCCGACCUGAGAGGGUGAUCGGCCACACUGGGACUGAGACACGGCCCAGACUCCUACGGGAGGCAGCAGUAGGGAAUCUUCCGCAAUGGACGAAAGUCUGACGGAGCAACGCCGCGUGAGUGAUGAAGGUUUUCGGAUCGUAAAACUCUGUUGUUAGGGAAGAACAAGUACCGUUCGAAUAGGGCGGCACCUUGACGGUACCUAACCAGAAAGCCACGGCUAACUACGUGCCAGCAGCCGCGGUAAUACGUAGGUGGCAAGCGUUGUCCGGAAUUAUUGGGCGUAAAGCGCGCGCAGGCGGUUUCUUAAGUCUGAUGUGAAAGCCCCCGGCUCAACCGGGGAGGGUCAUUGGAAACUGGGGAACUUGAGUGCAGAAGAGGAGAGUGGAAUUCCACGUGUAGCGGUGAAAUGCGUAGAGAUGUGGAGGAACACCAGUGGCGAAGGCGACUCUCUGGUCUGUAACUGACGCUGAGGCGCGAGCGUGGGGAGCGAACAGGA
RNAcentral lists this ribosomal RNA (724 nucleotides) under uncultured Bacilli bacterium. Its description in RNAcentral is "bacterial SSU rRNA". It matches the Rfam family "Bacterial small subunit ribosomal RNA", at positions 69 to 777 of the family's 1533-position model. The record is from RNAcentral. Lineage: Bacteria; Bacillati; Bacillota; Bacilli.